GUCGAGCCUAGGGCGGCCACCCGAAAAACCGGACACCUUCACCGGCUGGCUCGGCGUUCUUCGUGAAGG
RNAcentral lists this non-coding RNA (69 nucleotides) under Burkholderia thailandensis E264. RNAcentral's name for it is "int-alpA RNA". It matches the Rfam family "int-alpA RNA". From Rfam's summary of the family: Acidobacteria (1 example), Planctomycetes (1 example), Proteobacteria. Environment (Lake Washington) The record is from Rfam by way of RNAcentral. Lineage: Bacteria; Pseudomonadati; Pseudomonadota; Betaproteobacteria; Burkholderiales; Burkholderiaceae.